CCGCUGUUGAUGGAGAUUCUCAGGCAGAAAGGUUGCCCUGGCAAUAUAGUAACCUUUCUCCAGAACUAUCUCCAGGGACGAGAGGUCGUCGUUGGAGAAGAGCGCGGUUCCCCGAGAGGGGUUCGCCUAUUCGAAAGCGGAAAGCGAGGACAGUACCUAACACGUACGGGCGAGGAAACAGACGGUUCACCCCGGGCGGGGUUCCGCCGGGGUCGUCGGGCGUCUCUCGGGGCGCCCGCGCGGUCCCGGUCCCGUCCGCCGUCUCUGCACGGACAGGCAACGAGAAUCGGCUCGCGCUCCGGCGCGGCCGAUCCCUGGCGCGGGCCGCUCGGUUCGUCUCGGCGGGCCGGGCGGCGUCCCGCGCGCCGGGCAGCCGGUUAUCGCCGAACGCGGGACGAUAGGGCCGCGCCCGCACGGCCGCGGUGCGAUAAAGCCACAAGCUCGCAACUUGCCGCGGCCGGGCGCGGAGAACCCUGGGGCCCGAUAGCGGCGGCGCGAUUAAGCAUAAGUCCAAGGCAGCACGCCCGGACCAUUCGUAAACGACUUGGUUCUCGGGAGAGGCGUAUUAAUUCGCGAGAGCGGACAUCGUUUCCGCGAUCCGAUGAGACCAACCUCACGCCCGGACGGUCCGUCUUGUCGUCUAGACAGGACCCUCCGCGCGGUCAGACGUUGUUCUCCUCUCCUCGCCGCUCGCUCCGCGCGGGCGGCGAGGGUCCUCCCCUCCCCACACGCCCGAACGGUCCGUCCUGUCGUCCGGACGGGACCCUUCGCGCUGCCAGAUGUUGUUCCCCGCGGCUCGGGCCGCGAGUCCGGUCCGGAGUCCCGACGGGGGGCGCCCGGCAUGUCGGAUCGCGGCCUUUCCCCCGACGCCGUUCGUCCAAGUCCCGAUGGGGGCCGGGCGCACGCCGGGUCGGACCGGGCGCCCGGCGCCGGCGGAAUCGCGGCGGCCCGGACGCUCCGACUACGUGCCCGAACGGUCCGUCCUGUCGUCUGGACGGGACCCUUCGCGCUGCCAGAAGUUAUCUCCCGCCCGGCCCCCGAGCCUUCG
Molecule: long non-coding RNA, 1048 nt
Filed under: Bemisia tabaci
Lineage: Eukaryota; Metazoa; Arthropoda; Insecta; Hemiptera; Aleyrodidae
Description: lncRNA ENSSSA1NGG004848
Source: RNAcentral